Molecule: ribosomal RNA, 497 nt
Filed under: uncultured bacterium
Lineage: Bacteria
Description: partial 16S ribosomal RNA
Rfam family: Bacterial small subunit ribosomal RNA
Source: RNAcentral
GAUGAACGCUGGCGGCGUGCCUAAUACAUGCAAGUAGAACGCUGAAGGAAGGAGCUUGCUCUUUCCGGAUGAGUUGCGAACGGGUGAGUAACGCGUAGGUAACCUGCCUGGUAGCGGGGGAUAACUAUUGGAAACGAUAGCUAAUACCGCAUAACAGUAGAUGUUGCAUGAUAUCUACUUAAAAGGUGCAAUUGCACCACUACCAGAUGGACCUUCGUUGUAUUAGCUAGUUGGUGAGGUAACGGCUCACCAAGGCGACGAUACAUAGCCGACCUGAGAGGGUGAUCGGCCACACUGGGACUGAGACACGGCCCAGACUCCUACGGGAGGCAGCAGUAGGGAAUCUUCGGCAAUGGACGGAAGUCUGACCGAGCAACGCCGCGUGAGUGAAGAAGGUUUUCGGAUCGUAAAGCUCUGUUGUAAGAGAAGAACGAGUGUGAGAGUGGAAAGUUCACACUGUGACGGUAUCUUACCAGAAAGGGACGGCUAACUACGUG